AUGAGGAAGUGAGUCAAAACUGCAGAAAAUAUCUCUUCGAUAAGAAUCUGGAAAUCCACAGAGGGAUAUAUUUAGCUGAGAGAGUAGCUAGUUUCCUCUCUUCUGUGAAUAUUUUGGCUGGGUGCUAAGAUUUGUUGUUUGAUCAUGAGUACAUGCUUGGCUCACACAGUCACACACCCAAGGCAGCCAGGCUUCCUUCAUACAGAUGUCUUCACUUGAGUAAGAAAUAAGGAAGUGUAAACCAGUCUGUAGCACUACAGUGACUCCCAACUCAUGGACGUGUGUUCUGUCCGUCACAACAACACCUUCCUCAGGUAAGUCUCGCUGCUCGGAUACGGUUUCUACGGAGACCUCCUGACGGACUGCGAGAGGAAGUGCUGGAUGGGGCCUCCCAGAUACGAUCUCUCAGGUCUAAUGAUGUUCCUGACCCAUCAGUAUUAUGAAGGGACUGUCGCUUUCCUGCUCGCUGAGGACAAACCUGGGGAAACAUAGAGACAAGGUCAAGUGCAGAACUGGGUGCCAUAUCUGUGAGCAGGUUGCCAACAAUAGGCAGCCCCUCUUAGGGGAUCAUGUCUACUAGAUGGCUGAAGAGGACUCUGACAAGGAGACGAGCGGUGAUUGUGUAUGGCGGUUGAUCCGGGGGAAGUUCCUAGCAAUCAACGCUGCCGGCAUGAGCUGUGCCUGUCCUUGCAGCCCAAGAGGCCUGUUGCCAGAACCGGGCGGCCCUAUACACUCACUACACAAGUAGGACCCUGCAAAUUACGCCAGGGCCCGCCUCCCCCUUGUGUCAAAGCGGGUGUCAAUGUUUACAACUUCGAUGAGAGGAUGAAGUGGAAGUAUCCUUCUGGUCACGAAAAGAGAGAACAAAACACCAUGAGAGUGAAUUGUGAGAACAGCAAUCAGGUAAACUUGUGUUCUCUCCUCUCCAAGUUUGAUGUCAGCAAAUAGCAGUAACGUUAAGUUGAUGUGCUAGCUUGCAGUGCAUCUCUCUCUAGUUUGUCUUGCUAACCUAGCUGGGUAGUGCAUCUCUUGGUCUGUCUGUGUCUUGCUUGCUUGCCAGCCACUUCCAAGGCUGUGUUCUGUGAACUUGUGCCUAACAAAAGUGAGAGUGAAAUAAAACUAUUUAUUACGUUUGACAAACGCCAACGGACAAUGGUGUUUAUAAACUGCAGCUCGGAAAAGAUAACCGCGUUGCGCGUGAACAUGCGUUCAUAUGUGCGUGCACGAAAUGAACCUCGCCUUUCCAGCAGCAACCUCUGUGGGGACCAGUCCAGAAAAUAUAUGGGAGUGACGGUACUCCUCAUAGGCGCACAUCAUUUUAAAACAAGAAAAUUAUUAUCUAGUCACUCGGUCAAGGUUUAGUUACAACUCUGGACUAAUGCAAGAUGGAAAGCAAUGGAUUGACAUUAACUAUUGAUUUAUAUAUUGAAUUAAAAAUGUUGAUUAGCUGGGCAUACUGGGCAAUAUGGAAACACAUCCCUCAGUAAAUAAUAACCAUAAAUUACUCAGCCAAGCCAUAGUAUAAAUAGUAUUUUAUGUUUGAAAAUAUAUAAAAGGAAAUCUGGGAGAGCCAGUUUGAAUGGGCCUGAUGCAGCUGAUAAAAUUAAUACUAGUAUUGUUAUCUAUAGUUUACAGGUGCUAUGCUUACGUUUCUCAGCAGAGGAGAUGCUGGAUCAUCAGCCAGUACAAGCACAGUUAAUCCACAUCCAGCCUCAGCCAGUACUAACACAGAUCCAGGUGAAGUACAGGCAGCCUCAGCCAGUACUAGCACAAACCAGAGGUGUACAGCCAGCAUCAGAUACUAGCAGCUCAGACCGCAAUAGAACAGUUGCUGCUCCACAAAAUGCCCCAGCAGAUUGGCCCCCAGUCUUAACAGACUUUAUGAGGACUGAGUUAGUGCUCAGUGGUCCAUUCAAACCAGGACUGGAUUUUUCUUACCCUAAAGACAAGUCUAGAAGAGGUUUCCAUUCAGGCUUAUUACAGAGACAGCUGUCAAAUGGGGGAAAGAUGAGCUGAGCAAGUUGUGUAUUGUUUUAGCUGUAAGCUCUUUUCUACAAAAGACUAUAAAAUAAUAAAGGAAGGCGUGAAUGACUGCUCAAAUAUCAACGCCAUUCUGAAACACCACGAGGGUAGUCCUGAACACACAAACAAUAUGAUUAAGUGGAGAGAACUUGAUCUGCGCCGAAGUCGGGACAGACUCUCGACCAGAUACAAAUGACAAUUUUGGAGGCUGAAAGAAAGAUAGCGGGAUGUCCUUACACGUUUAAUAAGUAUCACCCAGUCUCUGGCUGAAAGAAGCCUAGCAUUCUUCCAAUCAGAUAAUGGAAACUUCCUAAAAGAGGUUGAAUUACUAGCAAAUUUGACCCCAUAAUGGAAAAUCUCUCAGAAAAAGUAAAGAUGGAGACACAUGCUCAUUACCUUGGGAAGCGCACACAGAAUGAGCUGAUAUAGAUUGUGAGUGACAAGAUUCUGGAAGCAAUAGUGACUCAAGAGACUCAAAGUACUUCUUCAUCAUCUUGGACUGUACACCUGACAUUGGUCACCAGGAGAAAAUGUAAAUUAUUCUGAGAAGUGUGGCUUUAAAGGGAAAGCCAGAGAUCAAGGAGCACUUCCUCGGCUUUGUGAAUGUUGAGGUUUUACAACAGGCUUGAACCUGUCCACUGUCAUCUUAGAUAAGCUGAACAAGCUGAAGAUUCCAUUUGAAGAUUGCAGAGGGCAAGCUUAUGAUAAUGGGGCCAAACAUGAAGGGCAAGCACCAAGGAGUACAAGCCAGACUGCUCAAAGAAAUCGUCCCAUGUGGAGCACAUACUCUAAACCUUAUCAUUGCAGAUGCUGCCAAAUCUUCAAAAGAUGCAGAAGCCUAGCAUUCAGAGAUUCACACUUAAGAGUGUUUUUAAGAAACACGUGAACAUAACUGAAGUCAUGGAGUGACAUAAGAUGGGAGAGUAGGCUCCAAAGUGUUCAUGCAAUCAGGUAUCAGGCUUCUGAGGUUCGGGAGGCAUUACUGGAAGCCAGACAGAUGAUCAACGAUCCUGUGGCCAAAGUGGAAGCACAAGUGCUUGCAGAGGAAGUUGGGUCCUACCGCUUAUUGAUUUGCUGUGUUGUAUGGUGUGAGAUACUGACAAUGACAAACAAGGUGAACAAGCUCCUCCAAUAUGUCUCAAUUCAGUAAAUUCGCAGUGAAUUUAAUCUCAAAUGCAAAGGCCUCCCCCACUACAUACCGGGAAACUGGAUUCUCUGUGACCCAGACAACAACCAAAAGCAUUUUUGAAGAAAUGAAUGUGGAGAAUGUUCUGAAAGAGAAGAGACUGAGAAACAGCAAGAGGCAUUUCAUCUAUGAGGUCGCUGAUGAACCAGUGACUGAUGCACUGAAAACCUUCAAGUCAACUACUUAAUGUCACUGCUGUGAUAUUCAUGAGUUUUGGAACACUCAACCAGGUGAAAACCAAAUAUGGAGUUCUGCUGAACUUCCGCACUGCCUCUCAGAUGUCCAGUGAAUCUUUAAAGGUUCACUGCAUGGAAGCUUGAAAACACUCUAACCUUCAGUGGAAUGGAUCUGGCACACGAGAUUCAGAAUGUACCUGACUGCCUUUGAGCUGCUUUCCUUUCUCUGUGAGAAAAACCUGGAGGAACUCUAGUCUAACCUUUGGAUAGCCCUAAGAAUUGCAGUCACCCUACCAGUAACAGUAGCAUCAGCAGAGAGGAGCUUUUCAAAAUUAAAGCUCAUCAAAAGCUACCUGUGACAGGUCUGUUCCCGUCGGGCCUCAGCCGGACGGUCAGUUCUUGUUCGCCUGGCCGGUCCAAGAGUCUUUUUUGUUUGCUUUUUGUUUUGUUGGUGACGUUGGGGUUGAUUCCGCCGUCGAUGGACCCGGGAGUGCAUAAGCCAGCACGUCGGGCUUUCACGCCCUGGCUGGCUUAAGCGGUUUCCUUGCCUCGGUUGGCUCAGCGGCUUCCCAUCAAACUUCACACUCCACCGGAUCUUCGGGCUCCCCCUCUGCAGUGAGAUUGACAGGCGUCUUGCCUCAGCCGGAUCAUCGGGCUUCCAUGCCUCACACGGCUCGCCAGACUCUCACGCUUCCAAGCCCCAACCGUCUUGCCCCAGCGCCCAUGCCUCGGGCCGGUUCCCCCAGGUGGGACACCGGGUGGCGCCCUUAGAGGGGGAUACUGUCACGUCUGCUCCCGCUCCCCCCUCUGUUUCCCGCUUCUGCAUGAAUUGUUUUUUAUGUCUGUAUUAUUAGUUUGCUGACGCUGUUACUGUCUCGUUCCAUGUCCAUUCUUUAUGAAACGUUUUACUCCCCAUACAUGCUUCGUCUCUCCAGCGUCGUCCAAUGUGACAACCUGAGGUCUUCCAUGUCACAGGAACGUUUGUGUGGUCUGGCCAUCAUGAGCAUAAAUCAUGACGUGGGGAAACACAUGUCCUAUGAUGACAUCAUUGAUGAUUUUUCUCGAAGUGCAGAAGAGGAAUAUUUUGAUGGCAGUCCAGAUAGACUGGUGCUGAUGCUGGAAAUGCCCAGACUGCAGAGGGAACCAAAGUUAAUCACACAGAUGUAUAGGUUUUAUUUUACUAUUUUGAGACAUGUAGCUGCAGCCAGAGCCUAUAGGUUUAUGUUUACAUUGUAUAGCCAAAGCAAAUCAAACAGCUGUAUUGGUUUUAUUUGACUAUUUUAAGACAUACAGCUGCAGCCAGAGCUUAUAGGCUUAUGUUUACAUUGUAUAGACAAAGCUAAUUGUAUAAUACUGUGAGGACUGGACUAAUUGCCAGGCAGCAGAGCCAAAGCUCAGUGUUAUAUUUGAUUAUUUUCUACGUUUGAUAUUUUCUACAAUUUCUUAUUGAUGUUCACGUUAAUAUUCACUUAUCUUAAGAUUCUAUAGAAAAUAUUCUAUUCAUUAAAAUUGUUUGUUUAUACCUUUGUCUGUAUAGGUCUACUUAUUCUUAGAUUGACAGGUGGAGCAAACUGUUUUAAAGGAGGGGGAUUGUAGUGGGAGCACUGGGGGAUCAGGUGUGACUGUGUGGCAAUGGCAAAUGGUUUACAUGGCUCACGGUUCAGGUAGGAGGGCCCUUUAGCAGAAUUUUUGUUUAGGGCCUCAGGGAGGUCAGACCCGGCUCUGUCUGUUGCCCAUCCUAGCUUCCCGCCUCGACUUCCUCCGACACCUCAUACGACACACCAACAAGGAUGACCAUGUAGGGAACUCUGAGUUGUUAAUGAGAAUUGUUUUGCUAUUAUUUAUUGAUUUUGACAAUCAUAAAAGAUAAUUAGAUGUAAGAUGAUUCAAUCAGAGGGGGAUAUCACCCCCUCCCCCCCAAAAGUUAGAAGAUUUAGCAAAGUUACUUGCUAAGUAAAUACAGAUUUUUUUCCAAACCAUAUUAAUCUCAGGUAAUGUAUUAUGGAUCAAGCCAGUAAAACUUUUGAAAGUCACAAGGAGUUCAGGAGGAGAUGGAGAAUGCCUCAGUCACUUACUCACUCAGUCACUCCCAUGUACUGCAUGUCAUGGGUUACUCAGCUUUCACAGAGAGAUGGAGAUUGAGUGGGAGAGAGUUUCCCUGUACUUUGCUUGCACACCUCAUGGUUUAGUUUGCUGACACAGCUCUUUCUAAAUCGGGGUAUACCUCAAUUCAGACAUGCUCUUGCUUCCCACUCUUGCUCUCUCACUUUUCGUAAAUAUCCCAAUUCUACAAAGUGAUAUCCCAAUUCUACAAAGUGCUCUGGAUAGCUUGCAUCAUCCUCCUACAUGCACACGCACACGCGGGAUGGUAGGAUGUUCAUUGCAUUAUACCUCUGUUAUAUCUGCAUAGCCCAUCCACCAAGGAGAGAAACAAGGAGUGAGAGGCCACUAGGUGUAUUCAUAGUUUUGACAGAAAGCUUUUUAGGGGAAACUUGGUGUGAAUACUAACCAGGCCCAGUCAUAAAGUAAGUCUGAUGGAGAAUAAAUCGCUCCUCUCCUCUCAGACAGUCUGUGGAGUGGAACUGAGUAGUGAUGGGGGGGGAUAAAGAGAUUGUUUUCUGGGGCAGUGAAAGAUUGAGAUCUUUGGCACUGUUGAUUGACCCCUUCUUUUCUGCCUCUUUUCCCUACUCUCUAUCCAUCCCCUCAUGUCUUUACUCCCUUCUCCUUAUUCCUACCUCUAUCCAUCCAUCUCUCCCUCUCUCUCUCCAUUCCUCCCUCCCCUAACUUCCCUCCAUCCCUCCCUCUCUGCCUCCACAGUUUGACAUGUCCUUCAUGGAGGUGCACCGUGUGCGGGAGAUCCGGUUUGUUCCGAAGCACAGCAAUGUGAUCUCAGAGGUGGACCCGAGUGAGACCAGUGGGAAGAAGAUCUGUAACCAGGUCUGUACGGCCCAUCCCAGCUACGACACAGGCCAUAGCAACUGGAACUGUGAUGAGGAGAUCAUGCCUCAUGUGGCAAUACAUGUCAGUAAUUGUUCUUGGAAUGAGUCAGCAAAUGAGCGGCUGAGAUAAUUGAUGGUGAUAACCCCGAUCUCCCCCCAAAAAUAAAGAAAAAAAGAAGACGGAGAGAAGUUGGCUGCUUUCUUUCACUGCUAGACACAAUAUUAGUAGGUGACUUCAAUAGUAUAUAUUUUAAAGUAAAUAUGGUUAAGUGUUUGGUUGCGUCUGUCUGGAUUGCCUGAUGGGCAGUGCAUGCACAGUUGGGCCUAUUCAAAUAUUAUUUGAAUCACCAGUGUGACUGACUUGAAAAUAAAAUCUGUAUGGUCCUUG
Oncorhynchus nerka (sockeye salmon) is the source of this 6711-nucleotide RNA transcript. It is a transcript of the gene named ceramide kinase-like, with no coding region annotated. The transcript is spliced from 6 exons. The record is from RefSeq and is a predicted model, not a curated record. Lineage: Eukaryota; Metazoa; Chordata; Actinopteri; Salmoniformes; Salmonidae.